This 2160-nucleotide long non-coding RNA is filed under the name Nicotiana tabacum (common tobacco). RNAcentral's name for it is "long non-coding RNA (NTAB_LNC008753)". Lineage: Eukaryota; Viridiplantae; Streptophyta; Magnoliopsida; Solanales; Solanaceae. The record is from RNAcentral.
GAGACCCCACCCCACUCUCGUCUCUAGCAACUUAGAGACAGCCCUGUCUCUCACCACCUUGCACCGCCACCCUCCGCCCACCGGAAAUCGCCUCACGACGGUUUCGGUGUCCCAAAUCGUCUCAAAGUUACACCCUAGCAUCCCUUCUACCUCCUCAUUCCAAUUCCACACUCCAUUAACCUCGAAUCAUCCUAUAACCUCUCGAAUCUUCGAUCGAAGAUCCCCGUCCCAAACCCUAGCCUGUCCGCUUAACCCCAAAAUCACACCCAAUAAUCCCCUUGACCUCCUCGUCGCUAAUCCCUAACCAAAUUGGCUCGAAUCCGAGUAAAACUCAUCGAAUGGCGGAUCUAGGGUUCAACGGUUCGAGACUGUUUCAAAACUGUCAGGGUUGAAUGGGUUCUAGUUAGUAUUAUAAGCCGAUUUCUGACGAAAUAGACGUGUAAUGCUAACUGGAACUCAAGUUCGAAAGGGCAUGUUGGUGGGAUCCGAGAAAAGAACAGUAAGUUCUUCUUAGCUUCUUCUUUUCCUUUUUCUAUAUGUUUAUUUGUCUGUGUUAAGUUGUAAUUAGUCGCUUCUUUAGGUUUUUAGUUUAAGUAAAUUCUUAAUCCAGUAAAUAUUCCGCCUCUUUUUCUGAUUCUGGUCAGAUUAAAUACUCCAAUGUUCGUUUGAGUAGUUCAAUCAAUUAUUCGUUUGCCUAAAUUAGGUUCGUUGUAAUUCGUCUUUGUCCGUUAUUUUCUCCCUUCUCCAUCAGACCAUUUACUUAGUCCAGUUUUCUUCUGUCAAUUAAUAACAUAUGUUAUAAAUAGUUUCGUCGAUUAAUUCGUUCUUGUUUGUAGACCAGUAGUUUUCGUCAAAUGGUUUGAUGUCGAGUGUUAUAUGUACUGAUCCUUAGACACUUAGCUUCAGGGCUCAUCGUUAGUAUGCUUUCUGCUCCUACAUCUUUGUUUUAAUGCUAUUCAUUUAAUUUGAGUUUCGAGCUUAAACUGUGGUCUGAGUUUGAUGAAUUGAAUCCUAAGGUUGUCAUGUUCAGGGUCUGAUAUGAAUCUAUCAUUGGUUUAAAUUCAGAUUUGGUGUGAUAGUGUUGAUUAUGAGUUAGUUUCAUGUGGUUAAUUAGUAAUUGUUAGGUGGAUUGGUUAUAGAUGAUGGGUAGUAAUCACAGGGGUUUCAGGGAAUAAUUUGGGACUUAAAAGUUUAAAAAUAGUUAGUUUAAGUGUUCUGUCCAGUAAGUACUAAUGUAACAUUAAACUAAUGCAUUUGUUUAGUAGUAGUGGGGAACAAAACAUAAUAGCAUGGGGAGGCCUAAUGGAAAUGUAAUUAAAGUAUGUACUACCAAUAACCAUUGAAUUAAAUAAAGAAAGACAAGGGUUAGUGGGGAACAAGUGAAUAAAAAAUAGAGCAAAACAUAUAGGGGUGGGGUUCUAGAGAAUAUCAUGGGCAAAAUAUGCUUAAUUAAUGGGUUUGAGUGCUCCUAAGAGCUGUAAAAGGGGCAGUAGUUUGCAUAUAAAUAGGGGGAUUUUGGACAGAGUUAAGGGGUCCUUUUUUUUGAGUCUUUGAGAGAGUCUUCCUUUUUGAAUCAGUUUUAGAGAGAUAUAGGAAGAGAGAUACACAGAAAUAGAUACAGCAAGAAAAAAAAUCAAAAAUGAUUGCAGAAUUUCAGAAAAAUACACUGUUUCAUUGAGUCAUUUGGUAUUUUCUGAAGUUUUCCUUUAGUAUGGAAGCAAUUUCUGGUUAGCUGAUAAUAAAAAGGGUUUAAGUCGAGUCGGGUUUGGGGUCUGGUGAUUCACUAAGAUUGAAAUUAGGGUAUGACUAUCGUAUCACAUCCCUUGGUUUCAAAAUUAGUCUGCUGGUUCAUUUUCUGGUGUUGAAUACUACUGCUGCUGUUUGUUACUACUGAUACCUCAUUUUUCUGCUUCCUUCUUUCAUUUCCAGGUGCACACUUGAACUCAAAUUGAUGUAGCUUUGAGAUGAACAUGAAAUGAAAGUACUUAGACAUUUGUUUACUGGAUGAUGCAUGUUUGGACGACUAUACAUCUGUAGUUAAGUAGAUAUUAAUGAUGUGUAACUUUGUAGUGUAGUCUAAUUGGAUAUAUAUUCACAUGAAACUCGGAUUGUGUAAUUUGUACCUAAUUGGACUGUUAAUUUGUGGUUAUCCAGUUGUAG